This is a long non-coding RNA of Marmota flaviventris (yellow-bellied marmot), 1395 nucleotides long. RefSeq lists it as uncharacterized. Lineage: Eukaryota; Metazoa; Chordata; Mammalia; Rodentia; Sciuridae. The record is from RefSeq and is a predicted model, not a curated record.
CCCUUCCCCGACCCGGUCCCGCCCUCUGCACCCCUGGAGAGCAGGGCUGCUAGCCUGGGCGCGCGGUGAGCAGCAGGGUGGGCUGCACGGCGGAACGCCGAGAGCAAGGACGCAGAUCUAGGGCGCGGGGUGCCUGUGCUGAGGACGCAGCGCUGGACUCGGAGUCCGGAGUUGGAGGGGCCGCCCGGGUCACGUAGUACAGAUUUCCUGGGCGUCUGUCCGGGCAGACAGGUCGUGGCAAGACUGUCCGCAUCCAAGCGGGGUCAGGGACUCGGACACAAGCAGCAGCCAUCAGCUCCAAAAAGAGAGAAAUACCGGAAAGAGUGUACCUGGCAGAGGGAGGAGCUAACGCAGAGGCUCGGCAGUGCGCGGGAGAGCGAACCCGCUCUGUGAGCUUUGCAGAGGGCUUGGGGCUGCCAGAGGUGAGGAGGGGCACGACCGGGAAGCCCUGAAAUGGAUGAAAAGGAAUCGUGGUUAUGCACGUUUUGCAAAGACCCUAGAGUGUUCGAAGGAGCGUGUGUUCAUCGGCUGCAAAGUCUCCCGCUUGCUCUGGACUUCUGUGCCCAAGAGUGUGGAAGGGAGGUCCUGGAGCGGCUCGCUGACCCCGAGUUUCCCGCAGCACCACUUUUGAUGGCUCUCUGAAGGGCUUCGGGCGAGCGUCCUUUGUUCCUGUAGGGCCGGCCUUGCCCUUCUGGUUCUUUGGGUGGUGGGGAGGCUGCGUGUGUCCCCUAGCCUCUUGCUCUCCAGGCUCACUUUCAUCCUUAUUGCCUUACCCUCAAAUCCCUACUGGAGGACGUUGCUUUCCCUUUCCCCUCCAAUGUUCUCCCUCCCAGCCCUUAGCUCAGCCGACUGACCCCAACCUCCUCUUUUCCUUGGUGCAAUCCUUCAGUAGAUCCUGAUUGCUAUACUCUCCAGAUGGCAACAUGGCCCUCCUCUUUAAGCCACCCGUCUGUCACCUGGAUGACUACAACAGCACUCAGUGGCCUUCAGCCUCCACCCUAUCCCAGCUACUUCACCCUCCAUGCAGCAGAAGGGCCUCUACCUUGUCUUCAUGUUCCAGUGGUUGCCAUAAAAUCCAGACUCUUGACCCUGAACCUGCAGGAUCCCAGGUCCCACCCAUUUCUCCACCUGUCUCCUCCCUUUGAUCAUCUGUGUGCCUUGCCAGUUCUCUGGACCACUUCCACCACUCCUCCUGGACCUGGGGAUCUUGGCACCUCCUGUUCUCUCCACUGUGGCCUUCUGCCUUCUCACAAGCUGACUUCUUUUCCUCGGGCUCAGCUGCAGCAGCACCUACAGGCCUUCAUUGCCCGCUCCCGUUGUCCUCUCUAGCUAAGAGACCAGCCCAGUUGGGGCCAUGAUGCUUAUCAUUGCAACAUUAUUUCAUAUGUUUAUUUA